GCUCCAGUGGCGCAAUCGGUUAGCGCGCGGUACUUAUAAUGCCGAGGUUGUGAGUUCGAUCCUCACCUGGAGCA
Non-coding RNA from Rattus rattus (black rat), 74 nucleotides. NCBI's taxonomy places the organism in Eukaryota, Metazoa, Chordata, Mammalia, Rodentia, Muridae. The record is from the annotation of a RefSeq genome assembly.